This 94-nucleotide microRNA precursor is filed under the name Nicotiana sylvestris (wood tobacco). RNAcentral's name for it is "MIR6152 microRNA precursor family". It matches the Rfam family "MIR6152 microRNA precursor family". The record is from Rfam by way of RNAcentral. RNAcentral also lists the same sequence under 1 other name. Lineage: Eukaryota; Viridiplantae; Streptophyta; Magnoliopsida; Solanales; Solanaceae.
UGUAUUCGAUUGUAUUCGACUGUAUUCACGGCGUGAAACAUGGGAUUACACUGCUUUUAAACGAAAAGGGAAUCAGUUAACAUAAUAGACUCCU